CUUAUACAUGCAAGUCGAGCGCAUCCUUCGGGAUGAGCGGCGGACGGGUGAGUAACGCGUGGGAAUGUGCCCUUCUCUACGGAAUAGCCACUGGAAACGGUGAGUAAUACCGUAUACGCCCUCAGGGGGAAAGAUUUAUCGGAGAAGGAUCAGCCCGCGUUAGAUUAGGUAGUUGGUGGGGUAACGGCCUACCAAGCCUACGAUCUAUAGCUGGUUUUAGAGGGUGAUCAGCCACACUGGGACUGAGACACGGCCCAGACUCCUACGGGAGGCAGCAGUAGGGAAUCUUGGACAAUGGGGGCAACCCUGAUCCAGCCAUGCCGCGUGAGUGAAGAAGGCCCUAGGGUCGUAAAGCUCUUUCGCCUGUGAUGAUAAUGACAGUAGCAGGUAAAGAAACCCCGGCUAACUCCGUGCCAGCAGCCGCGGUAAUACGGAGGGGGUUAGCGUUGUUCGGAAUUACUGGGCGUAAAGCGCGCGUAGGCGGAUUGGAAAGUUGGGGGUGAAAUCCCGGGGCUCAACCCCGGAACUGCCUUCAAAACUCCCAGUCUAGAGUUCGAGAGAGGUGAGUGGAAUUCCGAGUGUAGAGGUGAAAUUCGUAGAUAUUCGGAAGAACACCAGUGGCGAAGGCGGCUCACUGGCUCGAUACUGACGCUGAGGUGCGAAAGUGUGGGGAGCAAACAGGAUUAGAUACCCUGGUAGUCCACACCGUAAACGAUGAAUGCCAGUCGUCGGAUAGUAUACUAUUCGGUGACACACCUAACGGAUUAAGCAUUCCGCCUGGGGGAGUACGGUCGCAAGAUUAAAACUCAAAUGAAUUGACGG
This 822-nucleotide ribosomal RNA is filed under the name uncultured bacterium. RNAcentral describes it as "bacterial SSU rRNA". It matches the Rfam family "Bacterial small subunit ribosomal RNA", at positions 48 to 916 of the family's 1533-position model. The record is from RNAcentral.